GUGCCAGCAGCCGCGGUAAUACGGAGGAUGCAAGCGUUAUCCGGAAUGAUUGGGCGUAAAGCGUCCGCAGGUGGCUGUGUAAGUCUGCUGUUAAAGCGUCUGGCUUAACCAGAUACAAGCAGUGGAAACUACACAGCUAGAGUGCGUUCGGGGCAGAGGGAAUUCCUGGUGUAGCGGUGAAAUGCGUAGAUAUCAGGAAGAACACCGGUGGCGAAAGCGCUCUGCUAGGCCGCAACUGACACUGAGGGACGAAAGCUAGGGGAGCGAAUGGGAUUAGAUACCCCUGUAGUCCUAGCCGUAAACGAUGGGUACUAGGCGUUGACCGUAUCGACCCGGUCAGUGCCGGAGCUAACGCGUUAAGUACCCCGCCUGGGGAGUACGCACGCAAGUGUGAAACUCAAAUGAAUUGACGGGG
RNAcentral lists this ribosomal RNA (415 nucleotides) under uncultured prokaryote. RNAcentral describes it as "bacterial SSU rRNA". It matches the Rfam family "Bacterial small subunit ribosomal RNA", at positions 505 to 918 of the family's 1533-position model. The record is from RNAcentral.